GGCUGUCACAGCUGGACUCGCUCCCUCCCUGUUUACUUUCGCUUCUCCAAGUUGCCCGUGACCUCCGCUUAUCCCGUCAAGGAGAAUUGCACUGCGGCCGCUCCGCGUGGGACGUGUGCCGGGUACGGCACACACCCACCCUGAAACCGAUGGACGAUGCUCUACAGAAGCUAUCAGUCGUAUUGUCAUCGGCUGCAGCAUGACAUGUAUUUCCUUACAAGCACUAGCCGACUGAAUGAGCAAGUGGUUGAUAAAAUUGUUCUUCAGCUUAACAGAGUCUAUCCCCAAAUUCUUACCAAUGAAGAAGCAGAAAAGUUCAGGAACCCAAAGGCAUCACUCCAUACCAGGCUCUCAGAUCUGUUAAAACACCUCCAAAAGAAAGGAGACAGACACUGUCAGGAGUUUUACAGGGCUCUGCAGAUCAAUGCUGAACAGCUGUUUAAUGACCUGCCAAGCAGAAAAAUCUUGAAAACCCCAGAUCCCACAGAGAUAGACACUGACAAGGAGCAAUAUAUGCUAAAUGACAGGGGCCCAGUGUUUUUCCUGGCGUGUUUCAGUGUGGCUGCAGGACUGGCCCUUUUCUGGUAUUGCUGUAACUCAGCCUUGGUUUUAGCCACCCUGGGGGUCUCCUGGUGCUCCAGCCCUGCGGGUGCUGUCCGGAGGCUGCUCUGAGCCGUCCUGCGGUGCCUCACCUCCAGCCCCGCCGGCUCCAGUGACGGCCGGGACAGGCAGGGAUAAAUGCUGGCUUCCCGUGGCUGCUCCCUGCUGAACGCUCCGCUGCAUCAGAAAGAGAGAGCUGACGUUGUUUCUCCUCUGUGGGCUCUGAGCUAAUUCAUUUUAAAAGCUCCUAGUGAAGGCUGGAAAAAUGAUGCCUGUGCCUCUUAAAUAUUCCUGAUCCAUAAUGGUUGCAUAGAGCUGGAUUUUGUUUCACCUGUGCCUCUGGAACUGGCUCACAGCCAAUUUAACAUGGCUACUUUGCUCUGCUGUGCAAGAACUCUGUUCUGCCAGGAGGUAGGGAGAUAACUUACAUCAGAUUGGAAUCAAAUUCAAAGUCUAGGUGUAACAGGUAAAAUUAUAGCAGAAAAUAAUACUUAAUAUCAAUAGCAAUAAUUUAGAUAGCAGUUUUCUAUUAAAGAAUUGCAGUGAUAUCUUUCAGGGUAUUCCCAGGCCAGGAGCCCUGUGAAAUAAAAGUGAAACUCAUCUUGGUGAUCUCAGAGUCAAUAAGAAAACAAGUAGGAAGUAAAUUCCUCAUUCUGAGCUGGAUGAAAUUCAGCCCUGGAUGAGUCUAGGCUGGUCCUGACUCUGGAACAAUGAACAAGACACAUCAUUCCAUCACACCCUGUGUCUGCAAGUGAAGAGGAUGUACAAAUUAAGCAAAAUAUUAUCAGUGACAUCAGGUUUGAAGACUGCAGGACCUCUGUGUGAUAACCAGAGUCCCUUCAAGAGGCUCUGAGGUGUCCUACCAGUGCAGCUGUGGGGUAUGGGGCUUUCAAAACUGUUUUUCUACUCACAUGGAGAAGAAAGAAUUUUUAUGGAGUACGAAGAAGAACAUUGACCCACACAGGUGCAUUGUGGCUUGCUCCCAAUGCUCCCCAGUUAGUGCACAUCACACAGUUUGUGAAGUUCAGUCUUGUUCCCAAGUCACGUUGCCAGGAUUUUAAACUCUGCAAGGGAUGGAGAAGCCUGAGGGGAUACAGUCAUUUCUUUCCUGAGUGAUGCUCUCCUUGGCAUGCCUGGUGAAUUAUGUUUUCUGAUCUGACACAGAAAAAAAUAACUCCUAUUUCAGGGUAAAGACACAUAGUUGUCUCCCUCCAUAUCUUCCACAAGUCCAAAACAAAUCUGAAACAUAAGGCCUUCCCAAGAGUUUAGAUUAUUUUCAUCCUUCAUGCCAGAAAUCUGUGGUAAUGUUGGGUGGGAUGAAACUGAUUUAUUCUCAAAUAUUUUUGGUACCAGUGAAUAUGUUUUGCAAUGUUUCAGUAGUCCUGGUGUGGUACUUCCUAGCAUGGCACCAUAUUUACACUCAUUUCUCAACUAGUUAAAACUUGUACCAUUAAAAAGGGAGUGGGGAACUUCUGGGCUGGAAGACUGGAAAGAAGAGGAGUGGAAAACAUCAGGAAGGAGGCUGAAUGAAAAAGGAACCUGAGUUUCUGCCAUCUCUAUUUCUGACAAAGCCUGACUUGCCUGAUGAGGAUCUAUUGAUAAUUCUCUGUUCCUGACUGGGAGCUGUGGCACUCUCUUCUUGGGAAGGCAGCCAGAUGUACUUCCGACAAUAUGUGUUUGCUUCCUGACAUGCCCAAGAGUAGUCUGCUGUCAAUCAGCUCGAGUUGUUCGGUCAGCUCUGCCCAUGAUUCUGCCCUCUCUGCCCUCCCACCGCUGCCUGAUGUGUUCCAAUGUCAGGAUGGGAAUACUCAGUGAUGGGGAGAGGAGUGAAACUCCAGGUACAGCUGACAUGUCACCCUGCAGCACUUGGAUGCAACCCAGCCUCUGAUGGAAACUCUGCCCUGAGGCCUGCUGUGACCAUGUUGUUAUUUAUCUCUUCCUGGAGCACCUUCUCUCAUUUAUUUCAGUUUACUUCUUUCUCUAGGACAUCUCAGCUUCUGUCUCUGGUUCAGCUUUGUUGAUCACCUGUGAAUACUAACAGGCUCCAGCAAGACUGCUGCAAGCAUUAGGUGGUGGGGUCCUGGUGGUGGUCUGCCUCCCCCAGCCCCUUUUCAAGUUGCACCAAGAUCUGAGAAAUACACCUGGGCUCAGCUUCUCUUGGGCUUAUCAGAAACACAAUCUGCUCCAGGAACUGGUGCUGUCCAAUUCCUCCCAAUGCCCAACCUGACCCUCCCCUGGCACAGUUUGAGGCCCUUCUGUCUCCUCCUGUCCUUGCUUCCUGGGAGCAGAGCCAGAACCCCCUUAGCUGUCCCCUUCCCAUCAGGGAGUUGUGCAGAGCCAAGAGGUUCCCCCUGAGCCUCCUUUUCUCCAGGCUGAGCCCCUUUCCCAGCUCCGUUCCCUUCUCUGGACACACUCCAGCCCCUCAAGCUCUUUCUUGUUGUGAGGGGCUCAAAAUUGACCCCAGAAUGUGCAGCACAGGGAAUGGGCACUGCCCUGGUCCUACUUACCCACCUGGGCUCCUGUUCAGCCACCACCACCAGCAAACCCAGGGCCUUUCCUGCCAGUCCCUUCCAGCCCCUCUGGCUCAGCCUGUAGCUGCAGGGGCUGUUGUGACCCAAGGACAGGACCUGGCACUUGGCCUUGUUCAAGCUCAGAUCACUGGCCUUGGAUCCAGCCUCUCCAGAUAAAACUAUGGCCUGACACCACAUCAAUACCCCCAGCAACCUUAGUGUCAUCUGCAAACUCACUGAGGGUAAAGAAGUUGUUAAUUCAUACAACUGAAUGGCAGUUGAGGGGAUACAGAAACCAGGAUGGUGUUUUCUGCUUCAGCCUAUUUUAUGUAAGACUCAGCAUCAGAAUGAACUCCAGCAGUGACCUGGUUUAGAAGACAAAUACCCAGUGAGUUCCAGUAAAUAUGUUUGUUGUCACCUGCUUCAGUAACUACAGCUAUGCUGAAAAUCCCAGCCCAGGCUAUUCUGGAUGCUGAAGGGACUAAUGAGAAGGACCAUGAGCAGUGCUCUCCCUGCCCAGAGCUUAUGAAACAGGAGCAAACGGCUGACCUGGCACAAACUGCUCCUCACACAGCCUGGAAAAUUCAUCUCACUUCAUUAUUGAUGACCUCUUUUUAAAAGAGAUAUUUACCUCCAACCAAGAACUCUGAAAAAGCACAGCAAACCAAAGAACGAGUCCAAGAAUGAGUCAAACGUAUGUAUUUGCUGCCCCUCUGAGAUACCUGCCUGCCUACUUUUAAAGCAGCACCUGACUUAAAAGAAUAAUAAUCCUGUGAUUAAAUUAUUUAUACUUGAAACCAACUUGCAGAUGCUUCUGUCUGCUAAAAAAUACAUGAACUCUGAAGGCUUCAAAGACUAAAAGUACAGAUUUCACAUCUGAGAAUGUUUUGUAAAUCUUAUUUAAUCACAAUAAAAGACAUGGGAAGCAGCAUCAGAAGUGUGACAGCCACGAGUGGGCAUGAAGAGUCCUACAGCAGUUGGUGCUUUGUGACAAACAAAUACAGGAAGGAAGUUGUCCUGCAUGCCUCAAUCAGAACUUGUUCUGAGUUAUGUUUACAUUAGUACAGCCCACAAAAUUAAACCACUGCCUGCUGGAUAUGAGUUAAAUACAUGUUACAAUGUAAAUGAAGCAACAAAAGACAAAUUAGAAAAUAAAAAAGAAUAUCUAUCCCAUUACUAAUCACACGA
Passer montanus (Eurasian tree sparrow) is the source of this 4298-nucleotide RNA transcript. It is a transcript of the gene named caspase recruitment domain family member 19, with no coding region annotated. The transcript has 7 exons. NCBI's taxonomy places the organism in Eukaryota, Metazoa, Chordata, Aves, Passeriformes, Passeridae. The record is from RefSeq and is a predicted model, not a curated record.